Molecule: long non-coding RNA, 354 nt
Organism: Cyprinus carpio carpio
Lineage: Eukaryota; Metazoa; Chordata; Actinopteri; Cypriniformes; Cyprinidae
Source: Ensembl
GAGGAGCCUGGAAUGGGCAAAGGGGACUCUUCUACAUACUCAGGCAGCAGAUGAGAUCAUCCAUGAAGUAUCAGAUUUUAUUCAGGAGAUUCAAACUUCUGAACCAAGAGCACAGGAUGACAGCACUGUAUAUCGACCUCCACUGAUUCGUAGUGGAUCCAGAGGUGCACCAUCUUAUGUCAUUACACAGGAUCAGCUGUCAUUUUUGUUGUCUUGUGGCUUCACUGUAAAACAGAUUGCACAAAUUCUACACACCUCCAUAUCCACAGUCAAGCGACGUUUAAGGUGCUUCAAUCUGUUGCAGUCUUCCUCAUACUCAGAUAUAUCUGAUGCAGAUUUAGAUGAAAAAAUUAG